Long non-coding RNA from Drosophila gunungcola (fruit fly), 482 nucleotides. RefSeq lists it as uncharacterized. The transcript has 2 exons. Lineage: Eukaryota; Metazoa; Arthropoda; Insecta; Diptera; Drosophilidae. The record is from RefSeq and is a predicted model, not a curated record.
CAGCUCCCUGGUGGCAAUCGCCAUCAGCGCGGGCUUCAGGGGUCGCACCGAACUCAUUUUGAGGAAGGAAAUAGCUUUUGUCGAAAUAGUCCCUUGCUCAUUGGUGCUCUAAAGUGGCUGCGGUUUGCUCCUCAAAAAAGCUCUGCAAAUCGAAAAUCGAACUGCGUGCAUAUGCUAACCGUUUGAAAAUACCUCGUCGACUGCCAAAUUGAUAUACGAGUAACAUGCGGAAUCAACGUACUUUGCCUGAUCAUAAGCCGAUUUAACAAUGCACGAAGACUUUUGUCGGGAGGGUGGUUGUGGGGGAGGUGCGAAGUGGUGGGUGGUGGUGGUGUGGGUUGGUGGGUGGUACCAGGCUAGCGCCUGCUGUAUUCCAGUGGGUUCACUUCGUUAUGGGUCGCUUUGCGAUUGAUUGUCUUAAUUGGCUUUGGAUUUAUUUUUUGAGUGCAGGCGACUGCGGUUUUUGCUGGCCCAGAUAUGAG